Molecule: ribosomal RNA, 495 nt
Filed under: uncultured bacterium
Lineage: Bacteria
Description: partial 16S ribosomal RNA
Rfam family: Bacterial small subunit ribosomal RNA
Source: RNAcentral
GAUGAACGCUGGCGGCGUGCCUAAUACAUGCAAGUAGAACGCUGAAGGAGGAGCUUGCUCUUCUGGAUGAGUUGCGAACGGGUGAGUAACGCGUAGGUAACCUGCCUGGUAGCGGGGGAUAACUAUUGGAAACGAUAGCUAAUACCGCAUGACAACAGUUAUUGCAUGAUAACUGUUUAAAAGUGGCAACUGCUCCACUACCAGAUGGACCUGCGUUGUAUUAGCUAGUUGGUGAGGUAACGGCUCACCAAGGCGACGAUACAUAGCCGACCUGAGAGGGUGAUCGGCCAAACUGGGAAUGAGACAAGGCCCAGAAUCCUACGGGAGGCAGCAGUAGGGAAUCUUCGGAAAUGGACGGAAGUCUGACCGAGAAACGCCGCGUGAGUGAAGAAGGUUUUCGGAUCGUAAAGAUCUGUUGUAAGAGAAGAAAGAGUGUGAGAGUGGAAAGUUCACACUGUGACGGUAUCUUAUCAGAAAGGGACGGCUAACUACGUG